This 396-nucleotide ribosomal RNA is filed under the name uncultured bacterium. Its description in RNAcentral is "bacterial SSU rRNA". It matches the Rfam family "Bacterial small subunit ribosomal RNA", at positions 360 to 772 of the family's 1533-position model. The record is from RNAcentral.
AAUAUUGGGCAAUGGCCGAGAGGCUGACCCAGCCAUGCCGCGUGCAGGAAGAAGGCCUUCUGGGUUGUAAAGCUCUUUUGGCGGGGACGAUAAUGACGGUACCCGCAGAAUAAGCCCCGGCUAACUUCGUGCCAGCAGCCGCGGUAAUACGAAGGGGGCUAGCGUUGUUCGGAAUCACUGGGCGUAAAGCGCACGUAGGCGGACUUUCAAGUCAGGGGUGAAAUCCCGGGGCUCAACCUCGGAACUGCCUUUGAUACUGUUGGUCUCGAGUCCGAUAGAGGUGGGUGGAAUUCCUAGUGUAGAGGUGAAAUUCGUAGAUAUUAGGAAGAACACCGGUGGCGAAGGCGGCCCACUGGAUCGGUACUGACGCUGAGGUGCGAAAGCGUGGGGAGCAAA